UUUAUUGGAGAGUUUGAUCCUGGCUCAGGAUGAACGCUGGCGGCGUGCCUAAUACAUGCAAGUCGAGCGAAUGGAUUGAGAGCUUGCUCUCAAGAAGUUAGCGGCGGACGGGUGAGUAACACGUGGGUAACCUGCCCAUAAGACUGGGAUAACUCCGGGAAACCGGGGCUAAUACCGGAUAAUAUUUUGAACUGCAUGGUUCGA
RNAcentral lists this ribosomal RNA (204 nucleotides) under Bacillus nitratireducens. RNAcentral's name for it is "partial 16S ribosomal RNA". It matches the Rfam family "Bacterial small subunit ribosomal RNA", at positions 1 to 198 of the family's 1533-position model. The record is from RNAcentral. Lineage: Bacteria; Bacillati; Bacillota; Bacilli; Caryophanales; Bacillaceae.